Molecule: long non-coding RNA, 5799 nt
Filed under: Salvia miltiorrhiza (redroot sage)
Lineage: Eukaryota; Viridiplantae; Streptophyta; Magnoliopsida; Lamiales; Lamiaceae
Description: long non-coding RNA (SMIL_LNC006895)
Source: RNAcentral
ACGAAGCAUCGUAAUUAGCAUAACUCGAAUUAGAUUUACAAAUACACGAUGAUACAAGACUAUGAUAUUUUAUUAAUCAUAUGACACCUUUCAACAUCCUACCUAUUACAUGAAAAAGAAAAANAAAAAGAAAAAGAAAAGAUAAGGUGUGUGCACAAGGGCAUCGUCCCUUUCACUAGACACACUAGUACAUCAACCUACUCAUAGACACCACCUACUCACUACAGCCACCCUACAGCCACCCUACACUCUACCACCUAUUCAUUAGCAUGCUCCAGCAGCCCCAAGUCCUCCAAUCACCUCCACUCUACCCUGCACCUAUUCUCUAGCAUACUCAAGAGUGCAGCCAACACCCUCUCUUAACAUCUGCCAAGCGACCUCUUCACCUCUUCAUUCUUCACUAAAGAGAUCAGAUCACUGAAGAGCAGGAGAACUCCUGCCCAUUGCUCUGUCAACUUCAAGGUAAGACUUGGCUUUAAUUCAUCCAACUCCUUCCACAUCUACUCCUGCAUUGAUUAAGAGGAACAACAACCUUGAAUAUUUCAGAUUUUUCGAUUCAUUUAAUCCAACAACACCAGACAGCCAACAAAGCAAAAGACUCAAGGUAUUACUACUUUUUCAUACUCAAUUUAGCCGCACUCAUAUCCAGUACAUGGUCAGUUAAGAAACACCAUAAAUAGGAGAACAAGCAUGAUAGACAAACAAUACCAAUGUAUAAUAUGAGGAUGUGCAUAAGUCAGUUUACUUCCAUCAAGAACCACAACAGCCUAUGACCUUUAUACGAGCUAAAUGCAGUAAGGAUUUCUUUGAUACAACAGCAAGUUCAGUGCUUAGUGCAAUUUAUUGCAUAAUCCUUAUAUGGAAACCAAGACUUCACUGUAGAGCUAUAGAUUGACCUAGCUUUUAGAGAGGGCGGGGGCUACUGCCCUGUUGUUCGGGCCGAAGGACGUCGAGUGGACGGCAACUCGCGGGAACAGCAGCGUCGGCCGCGUCGAGCGGUGAAAGGCAGACGACUCUCGAUCACAGCGAUGGCCCCUCGCCGAUUUUGGAGUAGCAGCAGUGGGCGGCGUACCUUCACCAAAACCAGCAGCAGCGUGGCUGAACCGAAGGUGAGAACGACCAGCACUGACUGAUUCGCCGGAUCCCGGAGCCGCGGCGGCGGACUCCUCGGCUGAGGACGGAUCGAGAGAAAGAGAUGGCUGCGGUGCGUGAGUUGAUGCGAAAGAGAGAGAAGAGGUGGAAGAAGCAGAUCGAUCCCUGGAUUCUGAGCGGCGGCCGCUCGCCGGCGGCUGGGACGGCCAGAGCAGGGGCGACGAACCCUGGUUUUGAGAGUUAGGGCUUCUCACCGUAGCCUUCAAUCGGAAGAGAAGGGGCUCCAGACGAGGAGUAAGGCUCGAACGGGGCAACUGGAACGGCCGGUGGUAGCAGACGGCAGCUGAACGGCCGGAGAAGAGAAGCCGGCCAGAGGAGUUGAGAGAGAGGCCGAGCGGUUUCUGAGAGAGAGGCCGAACGGCGUGAGUUGAGGGAGAGAGAGACCGAGUGGUGUUAAGGGUUGGGCUUCCCCUUUUGCCUUGGGCUUGAUUUAUGUUUCCUUUGGGCCGAAAGUUGGGCCUUCUUUUUAUGUGAGCUGCAGAUUUUAAUUGUUUUGGGCUUGGGUUAUUUCUUUUAAUUGGCCCGAUUUUAAUUCAGUAGAAUGGGCUGGAUGAUUAAUUCAGUUGGGCUUUUCACUAUUUAAUUCAUGCCCACUUUCAUUUAAUUAAUUAUCAGGCUGCCUUAUGUUGAGCCUUUUAAUUAUUUCGAACUUAUAAUAUUAUUUUCGUUCUUAUUUAUUAAGCCCGAUUAACCUUUACGAGAUUAUUAAGCGAAUAAUUCGAUUGAGCUAUUUUAUUUUAAUCGAUUACGGAGCGUGACCUAUUAUAAUUAUCAAGUGGAAUAGAACACUCUAGAUAAGCGGAUUCAUUAUAGUUAUUAUCCGACCUCAUGCGACGAGCCUUAUUUAAGUUAUUUAAUUUAUUUAAUCCGAGAGUUAGGAUUAAUAGUAGAUUUCCCGGACUAUUAAGCAAGAAUAAUAAAUCAUGCAUAAGAGAGUCAUGCAUAUUUAUUUUCGCAUUCUCAUUAUUUGAGAAUUCUGCUCGAGCAAAUUUCUUAUUUAAAGUUCUCGCAAUAAAGGUCAAGCGGGAGAGCAAUAACUAGAUUAAGAGCCACUACACCAUAACAAGAGUUGCUAUCAGGUGGGCAUUACUUUCAUAUAUAUCAAAUGAGUUUCAAAUUACAGUUGAACAGUUAUUUCAUUGCAAAAUCCUUGAACUGAAAGUUAUUUCAAGUAUUGUCUUGCCAUAAAAUGUUUCAAUUUCAGUAUGAUAUCUAUCUGAUGUGGCUUUGCCAAGUUAUGUAAUCGAAUUCGGGUCCUGAGCAGUUGAUAGCUAUCCUGCCAGGGCUAGUGUACACCCAGGGCCGUGAGUCAUCUAGCGGGUUGGCCGGUCAAGUGACCGUGAGAGGUGGCCACCUCUCCGGCACACAGCUUCAGAUAUGAUAGAUUAUAAGAACUUAGACUGCAGUCGAACUUUAAGAAUCACAAAUGAAUUUAGUAAGCUUGGGCCUUUUCACGAAAACUCCCUUGCUGUACUGUUUAUGAUGGCAUGACAAUUUACAGUUUUGAAGCAUGUAUUUUUAUACUUAGGCAUACGUGCCCACUGAGUACUUUGUACUCAGCCCUGCAUAUAUUUCUAAAUGUGCAGGUUGAGCAGCUGGUGGUGGUGAUGAAGUGACGAGCGAGAAUCUUUUGUCUUAUUUAUGUAUUAAUGAACUCUGGGGUUACAUGUCUUCAUACAUGUAAUCAGAACCUUAUUCCGCUGCGUACUCAGAAGUAUUAUGUUAUUUUGGCUAAGUCGGAAUUAUCCGAACUUACUAGUUUGUUUGAGUCAAUAUGACUUAACCUCCGUUAUAUUAUAAAUAUUCCUUUUGUUAACAAUGAUUAAAUACUAUCCUUCCUUGUUUAAUUAUUCCCCUUUCUACCCCGCUUCUAAUCUCCCUCCCUUAGUCACGAUUUUCCCGGCUUAAUUAUCCUUAAUUAGGUUCGGUCGUGACAGAGUGGUAUCAGAGCAGUUCAUUUGCUCUGAACCCUAGAGUUAAACAAUUUUUCUAGUAUGAUCACUAGUAUAUAAUAGUCAGUCAACCAAAGCUCAACACUUCAUCACAUCGCCAUGCUCAACCAGGAAGAAGAAGGUAAAGGUUUUCAAAAGUUGAAAGUUUAUAUUUCGCGCGAAUGUGCAAGUGUUUACAUUCAUGUUUAUGCUUUAUUGAGAAGAUGACUCAAUGAACUUAGAUGCGUUAAGAAUGCAUGAUCACUAUUAUGAGAAGAACAAUAGAAGCUAGAAACUCAGUUAUCUUUCACUAUAGCUAUGGUGAAGAGCUAAAGAAAGAAAAAGAGAAUCCCAUGAAAAGCAGUGUAAGCGGAGUUUCACGCACGAGCAGUGGCGCAGGCAUAGUUCUUCAUUCAGGUUGUUCAUGAGUGACAGGCACCGAAUCGACUAUUGCCUUAUUUGAUGAUAGAUCAUGUGAUUCAUUGCUCGUAGCGACGAGUGUGACUUAUGUAAUCAGCUAGCUAUCGCAUAAUGAGCUAAGACUCAUUACUAACUCUCGAUUAUCACCAGUUAUGGCAUGAAGAGAACCUUCAUGAUUUAUGUUUGAACUUCAGAGUCGGACUCAUAUGCAGUUAUAACACUUUGUGUAUGAUGUUAUAGCAUCGCGAUUAGAACUGCCAGCUUACAGUUUCAGAUAUUCAGAACCUUUAUGAUUACAAUUACCUAUUAUAUUACACGUGAGCAUGAUUUAGAAUCCCUAUUGAUUACGAUCACCUGCUACAAAUCGAAAGGAGGAUAGGUGCCAUGGUAACUAGAAGUUACCAACCAUUAUGAUUGACUAGAAAAAUCUAUACAAGUGUGUAAGACGAGANAUUAUUGUUAUUAUUAUUAUUAUUGUUAAUUGUUAUUAUUAUUAUUAUUAUUGUUAUUGUUAUUUAUCGUUAUUAUUAUUAUUAUUAUUCGUUAUUAUUAUUAUUUUAUUAUUAUUAUUAUUGUUAUCGUUAUUAUUAUUAUUAUUAUUAUUAUUAUUAUUAUUAUUAUUAUUAUUAUUGUUAUUAUUCUUGUUAUUGUUAUUGUUAUUAUUAUUAUUAUCCUUAUUAUAUUAUUAUCCUUAUUAUUGUUAUUAUUAUUAUUAUUAUUAUUAUUAUUAUUGUUAUUAUUAUUAUUGUUGUUGUUGUUAUUAUUGUCAUUAUUAUUAUUAUUAUCAAAUAGCUAGUGAAAGAUUAGUAAAAGUAAUUACAAUACAUAAACACUACCCUUUUAGUCUUUUACACCACCUUUACACCACCUUUUUCAGCUUUCUUAGUCUCCGUGCCGAACCCCAACUGGGAGUUUAUUUCGUGAACGGAGGGAGUACUUAGAUUUUAUGACGGAGCGUCGUAAUUAGCAUAACUCGAAUUAGAUUUACAAAUACACGAUGAUACAAGACUAUGAUAUUUUAUUAAUCAUAUGACACCUUUCAACAUCCUACCUAUUACAUGAAAAUGGAAAAAGGAAAAGAGAAGGUGUGUGCACAAGGGCAGCGUCCCCUUCACUAGACACUAGUACAACAGCCUACUCAUAGACACCAGUGCAACAGCUUCACUCUUUCCCCUACAGCCCCCAAAUCAACUCAAAGCCAAAGCCAUGGUGCAGAGAGAGAUCAAAUCAGCCACUCUACCUCUGUACCAUCUCCGUAGAAUGCUCAAGUGUUCAGCCAACAACCAUUCCCUCUUAGUCUCAAACCUCCAGCCAGCAAUCUCACUUCAUUCUCCCCCAUUCCACUAAGGACUUUUGAGAGAGAAAUGGGAGAAUUCAUUGCUGCUGCAAGACUUCAAAGGAGUUUGUCUCCACGGGAAUCAAUAGCAACACAACAGCCACCCAACACAAAACAACCAAGGUAUUUACUAUCCCAUAUGCCCUCUUUCAUGUUAUACAUUUCACGCCCCAACACAAUCGAUGAACAGUUCUUUUUUUUUGAGAUACAGACAAUACGCAUAUGAAUAUAGCUGAACCAUGAGUUUCUGUAAUUGAGAAUAACCGAAAGCAUGUUACAGAAAUAUAAUAACUCAAUCAGUUUUUAUUCACAAGACAAAAGGCAUAAAUGGCAUCAACAGACUAGAAUUUUAUGCGAGAUAAGUGCGUUUUAACAGAUUAGCUUUUGAACCAAGUACUCAAGAUAGCAUUAACAUUUAUGAGAUUCAUAGAGUACUAGAUACCACAAGAAUUCCUUUUACACCGCAAUUGGGGAUCGAACUUAGCAUUUGGGGGAAAGUGGGGAGGGCAUUGUGUUGUACCUGUUCCAUUAAACAAGGAGAAGGGCGGAUGCCUUGAUUCCAUCGGACCAGAGAAGCAGCGACUCGACGGCGUCGAACCAGAGAGAAGAAUGUGGUCGGAAACGGCCGUCUGCUCCGUUGGGUUCCGGAAAAAAGGGUCGCCGGAUUUUGGGACAGGGGCGGCGGGCCGCUAGUCCUUGUGAGCGGAGGAUUCAGCGAGGAUGAGAGAUUGAGAGAGGAAGGGCAAUGGGGCUGGAGUCAGAGGCGGGGGAAAGAGUCGACCUCGCCAGAAUUUGCAGAACAGCGGCUGUAAUUUCUGAGGUCGAAGCUAGGGCUCGACUUCUGCCUCGAAAUGUGAGUGGAAUCGGUGGCGAGGCGCGGCCUCAUCGGAAAUUCAAAGGUUCUGGCGUGAGGCAACAAUUCAAGCCGGCGACGUGAAGGUGUCCUCGACGGAAGCGCGG